GACGAACGCUGGCGGCGUGCUUAACACAUGCAAGUCGAACGGAAAUGCCCUGCUUUUGUGGGGUGCUCGAGUGGCGACCGGGUGAGAAACCCGUGAGUAACCUGCCCUUGACUUUGGGAUAACUUCAGGAAACUGGGGCUAAUACCGGAUAGGAGCUCCUGCUGCAUGGUGGGGGUUGGAAAGUUUCGGCGGUUGGGGAUGUACUCGCGGCUUAUCAGCUUGUUGGUGGGGUAGUGGCUUACCAAGGCUUUGACGGGUAGCCGGCCUGCGAGGGUGACCGGCAACAUUGGGACUGAGAUACGGCCCAGACUCAUACGGGAGGCAGCAGUGGGGAAUAUUGCACAAUGGGCGGAAGCCUGAUGCAGCACCGCCGCGUGCGGGAUGACGGCCUUCGGGUUGUAAACCGAUUUCGCCUGUGACGAAGCGUGAGUGACGGUAAUGGGUAAAGAAGCCCCGGCUAACUACGUG
Molecule: ribosomal RNA, 468 nt
Filed under: uncultured bacterium
Lineage: Bacteria
Description: partial 16S ribosomal RNA
Rfam family: Bacterial small subunit ribosomal RNA
Source: RNAcentral